UGCUGCAUGCUUUAUACAUGCAAGUCGAACGGAGGCCCUAGCUUGCUAGGUGUCCUUAGUGGCGCACGGGUGAGUAACACGUGGGAACAUACCUCAUAGUACGGAAUAACUGCGGGAAACUGUAGCUAAUACCGUAUAUUCCAGCAAUGGGAAAGAUUUAUCGCUAUGAGAUUGGCCCGCGCAAGAUUAGUUUGUUGGUAAGGUAAUGGCUUACCAAGGCUACGAUCUUUAGCUGGUUUGAGAGGAUGAUCAGCCACACUGGGACUGAGACACGGCCCAGACUCCUACGGGAGGCAGCAGUAGGGAAUAUUGGACAAUGGGGGCAACCCUGAUCCAGCAAUGCAGCGUGAG
RNAcentral lists this ribosomal RNA (351 nucleotides) under uncultured Alphaproteobacteria bacterium. RNAcentral's name for it is "bacterial SSU rRNA". It matches the Rfam family "Bacterial small subunit ribosomal RNA", at positions 39 to 405 of the family's 1533-position model. Lineage: Bacteria; Pseudomonadati; Pseudomonadota; Alphaproteobacteria. The record is from RNAcentral.